Long non-coding RNA from Salvia miltiorrhiza (redroot sage), 1354 nucleotides. RefSeq lists it as uncharacterized. Lineage: Eukaryota; Viridiplantae; Streptophyta; Magnoliopsida; Lamiales; Lamiaceae. The transcript is spliced from 2 exons. The record is from RefSeq and is a predicted model, not a curated record.
AAUCUAUAUAUAUAUAAAAGCUUAGCCCUAACAUGUUAAGAGCCUUUUCCCGCCAAUAGCGUCAUCUUUUUUAUCCAAUGUGUAAGUAUGUGUCAUCAGCAAAAUCAACAAAAUCUGUAUUAUCCAGCAGAUUAUUACCACCAACCUCCCCUUCACCUCUUCAUCCAAAACUUCUCACAUUAAUAACUGAGAUUUGUUCUUGGAGAACAAGUAUGCUUAGCCAACACGUUUUGCCCUUAGAGAUUCACAAUCAAAUGACAUCUCACAUAAAUCAUGGCUGCUCUUUUAAUUGGAGCAUCCGAAAAUUACCAGCAAGCACCACCACCGAAAACCACAGCGAGAACACAAGAAGAAGAAGAGAUAAGAAAAAGAAAAUAUUAGAAUGCCACUGCCAAUACUACUAUUACUGCUACCACCAUCAUCGAAACCCAUUCGAUUUUUUUUUUUUUAGUUCCGAUCUACUUUUUAUAAUAAGAUAUAUAUCCAAUAUCUUACAACUAUAGGAUUACUUAUUGCAUUAGAAUACUUCUUUCGUACGCCAAUAUAGCAAAACAUCGUCUGCAACUUCAUGGUUUCCGUAUAAUUUUCAUGAAGUCGAGAUCAGGUGAAAAUUCAUGUGAGGGGCAGGAGCACAUCUCACGAUUUUGGGUUACAAUUUUCUAGAGAGUAGCAAUAUUGAGUGACCAUAUACUGAUAAUCAUGUUUGUGUUUGUCAGUUUGAGGAAGACAAUUGCAAAGGUCAGGGAUCUUUUUUAAGUUUUUUUCUUUAAACCUUCAUGUUUCAAUUUGUUUUGUGUUGUCGGACGAAUUGAGGAGCAGAGAAGAGAUUAAUCACAUAUAUCUAUCAUAUUCUUAUAUAUCAGUCUUUCUAAUGUUCCAACCUUCGCCUUUAAUUAUAUAUUGCUUUCACAUUAAUUUCAACCAUGGUGAGUGUCUUCAGCAGUGAUCUGGUUGGAUUUCGUUGUUCUCCUCCCUCGCCGCUGCCCUCCGAUCAGCAAUCUCUUGCCUGGUCUACACCAGCGCCGUGGUUUUCCGCCGCUCAGAGCCUCCGGUCCGCCGUGCUUCACCGGCCGCUCUUAGUCUUUCUUCGGUAGCCGCCUCCCCUCUUCGAAGGCCCGUUUGAGCGUUUGCACUCCGUACAACGUACGGGUACCAAAUUAGAGAGCGGUGAAUCGAGAAGAUGAAGCGGCGCACACUGAUUGAGGAACAAAAUUAGGGCUUCCUAAUCUGUACUGCAUUUUAUGUUAUUUUCUUAUCAUCCUUUUUUAAGUUUACAUAUUUUUAAUUACUUUUAUCUUCUUCUCUUUUUUUUUUCUUUUUUCUUCUUUUUUGAGGUAAUUACUUUUAUCUAUUA